GUAGUCAUAUGCUUGUCUCAAAGACUAAGCCAUGCAUGUCUAAGUAUAAACACUUUUAUACUGCGAAACUGCGAACGGCUCAUUAUAUCAGUUAUAAUCUACUUGAUCGUAUCUUCUUACUUGGAUAACCGUAGUAAUUCUAGAGCUAAUACAUGCAAAAGAACCCGACUCACGAAGGGUUGUAUUUAUUAGGUACAAAAUCAAUGCUGGCCUUUGGUCAGAUUUUUGAUGAUUCAUAAUAACUAAACGAGGCGCAGGGCUCGUCUCGGCGCUGAUACAAACGAGUUUCUGCCCUAUCAACUUUCGAUGGUAGUAUAGGGGACUACCAUGGUCGCAACGGGUAACGGGGAAU
RNAcentral lists this ribosomal RNA (352 nucleotides) under uncultured fungus. RNAcentral describes it as "bacterial SSU rRNA". It matches the Rfam family "Eukaryotic small subunit ribosomal RNA", at positions 20 to 370 of the family's 1831-position model. Lineage: Eukaryota; Fungi. The record is from RNAcentral.